UGUACCAGUUGUUCUGCCAAGGGCAUCGCUGGGUAGCUAUGUGCGGACGGGAUAAGUGCUGAAAGCAUCUAAGCAUGAAGCCCCCCUCAAGAUGAGAUUUCCCAUUCCGCAAGGAAGUAAGAUCCCUGAAAGAUGAUCAGGUUGAUAGGUCUGAGGUGGAAGUGUGGCGACACAUGGAGCUGACAGAUACUAAUCGAUCGAGGACUUAACCAA
This 213-nucleotide ribosomal RNA is filed under the name Brevibacillus laterosporus. RNAcentral's name for it is "partial 23S ribosomal RNA". It matches the Rfam family "Bacterial large subunit ribosomal RNA", at positions 2713 to 2925 of the family's 2925-position model. RNAcentral also lists the same sequence under 1 other name. The record is from RNAcentral. Lineage: Bacteria; Bacillati; Bacillota; Bacilli; Caryophanales; Paenibacillaceae.